UCGGACAUCAGGAGGUUAGUGCAAUGGCAUAAGCCAGCUUGACUGCGAGCGUGACGGCGCGAGCAGGUGCGAAAGCAGGUCAUAGUGAUCCGGUGGUUCUGAAUGGAAGGGCCAUCGCUCAACGGAUAAAAGGUACUCCGGGGAUAACAGGCUGAUACCGCCCAAGAGUUCAUAUCGACGGCGGUGUUUGGCACCUCGAUGUCGGCUCAUCACAUCCUGGGGCUGAAGUAGGUCCCAAGGGUAUGGCUGUUCGCCAUUUAAAGUGGUACGCGAGCUGGGUUUAGAACGUCGUGAGACAGUUCGGUCCCUAUCUGCCGUGGGCGCUGGAGAACUGAGGGGGGCUGCUCCUAGUACGAGAGGACCGGAGUGGACGCAUCACUGGUGUUCGGGUUGUCAUGCCAAUGGCACUGCCCGGUAGCUAAAUGCGGAAGAGAUAAGUGCUGAAAGCAUCUAAGCACGAAACUUGCCCCGAGAUGAGUUCUCCCUGAGACUUAGAGUCUCCUGAAGGAACGUUGAAGACGACGACGUUGAUAGGCCGGGUGUGUAAGCGCAGCGAUGCGUUGAGCUAACCGGUACUAAUGAACCGUGAGGCUUAACCUUACA
Molecule: ribosomal RNA, 603 nt
Filed under: Salmonella enterica
Lineage: Bacteria; Pseudomonadati; Pseudomonadota; Gammaproteobacteria; Enterobacterales; Enterobacteriaceae
Also listed under: 2 other names
Description: partial 23S ribosomal RNA
Rfam family: Bacterial large subunit ribosomal RNA
Source: RNAcentral